Molecule: long non-coding RNA, 600 nt
Filed under: Parus major (Great Tit)
Lineage: Eukaryota; Metazoa; Chordata; Aves; Passeriformes; Paridae
Description: lncRNA (ENSPMJG00000012150.1)
Source: RNAcentral
UCUGCCCACGGGCUUUGUCUGCAUAGGAGAAAGAGAAAUACAUGCAAACUUUGUGUGACCUAUAGGAUCUUUCUGACUGCGGUGACCUGGUGGGGCAGCACGUCCUCCUAUUCUGCUAACAAGACCCAUCUUUUCUAAACAUCUCAAAGCCUCCACAAAUAAUGCACAUUUGAAGAGCCAGAUGCAAAGAGAAGUGGAGGGAGUACUUUGAAGAAUAAGAACAGGAUCUCUUAUGGCAGCUUUCUUGCAUGGUACUAUUUGCUGCUGCAGAAAUGAGAAAGUAUUCCUCCUGGCAGAAGAAGCAUGGCAUAUGGCAUCAGGAAUUUGAACCCAAGUGAAGUCAAGUCCAGAGCAGUCAAAUCUGGUCCGUGUCCAGGUCCGUCAGAUCCAGGUCUAGGUCUGCCCCUGUGUCCAGAAACAUCUCUGCAAGACCAGAGGCAGGAAUACAAGUGUAUCCCACAGAUGUGCCCUGACCACUUGAGCCUACUCAUCUGCUGACAUCUGUUGAAUGUGGCCCUGAGCUCACAGACCCUCUUCUUGAGAUUUGUAACAAAGGUGGUUAAAAUUUAAAAAUAAAAAAAUCCCAAACAAUCCUAAACA